AAGUCGGUUGUGAAAGCCUUCCGCUUAACGGAAGAACGGCAUCCGAUACUGCAUAGCUCGAGUGCGGGAGGGGAGAGUGGAACUUCUGGUGGAGCGGUGAAAUGCGUAGAUAUCAGAAGGAACACCGGCGGCGAAGGCGACUCUCUGGCCCGUAACUGACGCUGAGUGUGCGAAAGCUAGGGGAGCAAACGGGAUUAGAUACCCCGGUAGUCCUAGCCGUAAACGAUGGGCACUAGGUAGAGGGGUUUUGAUUAUCUCUCUGCCGGAGCUAACGCAUUAAGUGCCCCGCCUGGGGAGUACGGCCGCAAGGCUAAAACUCAAAAGAAUUGACGGGGGCUCGCACAAGCGGUGGAGCAUGUGGCUUAAUUCGAUGCAACGCGAAGAACCUUACCGGGGUUUGACAUGAUGGAAGUAGGAGCCCGAAAGGGCAACGAACGGUAUCCAGUCCGUAACUAUCACAGGUGUUGCAUGGCUGUCGUCAGCUCGUGUCGUGAGACGUUGGGUUAAGUCCCCUAACGAGCGAAACCCUUGUCUUUAGUUGCCAACAGGUCAUGCUGGGUACUCUAAAGAGACUGCCGUCGUCAAGACGGAGGAAGGUGGGGAUGACGUCAAGUCAUCAUGGCCCUUAUAUCCCGGGCUGCACACGUGCUACAAUGGUCGGUACAAAGGGAUGCUAA
This 677-nucleotide ribosomal RNA is filed under the name uncultured bacterium. Its description in RNAcentral is "bacterial SSU rRNA". It matches the Rfam family "Bacterial small subunit ribosomal RNA", at positions 585 to 1253 of the family's 1533-position model. The record is from RNAcentral.